RNAcentral lists this ribosomal RNA (625 nucleotides) under uncultured bacterium. RNAcentral describes it as "bacterial SSU rRNA". It matches the Rfam family "Bacterial small subunit ribosomal RNA", at positions 305 to 919 of the family's 1533-position model. The record is from RNAcentral.
CGGCCACACUGGGACUGAGACACGGCCCAGACUCAUACGGGAGGCAGCAGUGGGGAAUUUUUCGCAAUGGGCGAAAGCCUGACGAAGCAACGCCGCGUGGAGGAUGAAGGCCUUCGGGUCGUAAACUCCUGUCGACUGGGACGAAAGUAGUNUGGCCCAAUACGCCAGGCUAUCGACUGUACCGGUGGAGGAAGCCACGGCUAACUCUGUGCCAGCAGCCGCGGUAAUACAGAGGUGGCAAGCGUUGUUCGGAAUUACUGGGCGUAAAGGGCGCGUAGGCGGUUCCGUAAGUUCCGUGUGAAAUCCCCCGGCUCAACCGGGGAAUGGCGCGGAAAACCGCGGGGCUUGAGUUCGGGAGAGGGAAGCGGAAUUCCGGGUGUAGCGGUGAAAUGCGUAGAUAUCCGGAGGAACACCGGUGGCGAAGGCGGCUUCCUGGACCGACACUGACGCUGAGGCGCGAAAGCUAGGGGAGCAAACGGGAUUAGAUACCCCGGUAGUCCUAGCUGUAAACGAUGAGUGCUGGGUGUAGGGGGUAUCAACCCCCCCUGUGCCGAAGCUAACGCAUUAAGCACUCCGCCUGGGGAGUAACGGUCGCAAGGCUGAAACUCAAAGGAAUUGAACGGAA